Long non-coding RNA from Cercocebus atys (sooty mangabey), 376 nucleotides. RefSeq lists it as uncharacterized. The record is from RefSeq and is a predicted model, not a curated record. Lineage: Eukaryota; Metazoa; Chordata; Mammalia; Primates; Cercopithecidae. The transcript is spliced from 2 exons.
CAUUGGAGGUGGCCGCCAUGUUUGUCUUGUCUUCUGUUGUCUUGUGUGUUCAUUCCUUUGUUUAGGAAACACGCCAACAGAAGCAGAUAAAAAGCCUCUACUUUUGCCUUUCUUCCAUUCAAUUACUCAGUCUCUCAUGUUCCUAAAUGCCAGCCCAGAACCAUGGAACCUGAAGAAACACAAAACGCACUCCUCUGCAUCAGUGAAUUGAUUGUGUGGUGGGGAUAUAAGUCUGCAUGUGACUGACAGGUCCCCAACGUGGUGCCAAGUCAAUCUAAACUAGAGAGAAUUUCUGGCCAGGCCAAGCAGAGAUUUCCUGGAUGAAGUCUCCCAAAGAUUGAUUUCCUAAACAUUAAACAUCACUGGUUUUCCAAAA